GGGGAAGGGUCAGCAUAUACAGUGUUCAGGAGACCAAGAGGGGACAGGUUAGGAGGGGAAGGGUCAGCAUAUACAGUGUUCAGGAGACCAAGAGGGGACAGGUUAGGAGGGGAAGGGUCAGCAUAUACAGUGUUCAGGAGACCAAGAGGGGAAGGGUCAGCAUAUACAGUGUUCAGGAGACCAAGAGGGGAAGGGUCAGCAUAUACAGUGUUCAGGAGACCAAGAGGGGAAGGGUCAGCAUAUACAGUGUUCAGGAGACCAAGAGGGGACAGGUUAGGAGGGGAAGGGUCAGCAUAUACAGUGUUCAGGAGACCAAGAGGGGACAGGUUAGGAGGGGAAGGGUCAGUAUAUACAGUGUUCAGGAGACCAAGAGGGGAAGGGUCAGCAUAUACAGUGUUCAGG
Long non-coding RNA from Oncorhynchus tshawytscha (Chinook salmon), 402 nucleotides. NCBI's taxonomy places the organism in Eukaryota, Metazoa, Chordata, Actinopteri, Salmoniformes, Salmonidae. The record is from Ensembl.